GUUGGAGAAUAUGCUGAUUAAAUCUCGUUGUAAACACGAAAUUUCACGAAGCGCAAAUAGGAAAAGAGACGAUUUAGCAGAUGGCUUAUCUCUUAGACGGGCGAAAAACUUUGGCUCGAAUCGUUACUUGCUCGUCGAAAUCCCAAAAACCGAUCGCCUUUCCAAUUCCGAUCCGAACUCUUAUAUCUAAGCUCAGGAUAACACUGACCUUUACCUUCACCCUUUACCCGGGAAAAGACGGGAUAUUUAUUCUUGAUGGUCGAUCAUUCGAUGCCAUUUUCUCGUAAAUUUCACACGAUGUCUGCGAGUAUUAUUUCGUUAUAACUUAUAUCAGACAAAAAGUCCAC
This 347-nucleotide long non-coding RNA is filed under the name Androctonus crassicauda. Lineage: Eukaryota; Metazoa; Arthropoda; Arachnida; Scorpiones; Buthidae. The record is from RNAcentral.